This is a non-coding RNA of Chelonoidis abingdonii (Abingdon island giant tortoise), 328 nucleotides long. The record is from RefSeq and is a predicted model, not a curated record. Lineage: Eukaryota; Metazoa; Chordata; Testudines; Testudinidae.
CAGAGAAGGAAAGUGGCAAAGCGUGGGACUGUCACAGGCCCCAGGACUCCCUCCCUCAGGGGGUCCCCUGGGGAAGCAGAUCAGCACUAAUAAAGCUUUAAAAUUCAGUCACUUGGCGUGCUCCUUCAUCUCCUCACCGAGAGAUUCUGCGGCCUCAGCCUGAUCACCUGACACCCCAGGUAGAUUGGUCACAGGUAUUUGUCACAGGACAUCCCCCUACGUCGGAGAGAAACACCGGACAGCUAAAGAAGAGCGAGGCUGGUGGAACAGAAGCUAGAGGAGAGGCAGGGAAGGUCCUGGAGGAGAGUCAGAUCCAACCUGGUGAGUG